GUGUGUUAUGUCAUGUAUUCAAGGUGUGUUAUGUCAUGUUAUGUCAUGUAUUCAAGGUGUGUUAUGUCAUGUAUUCUAGGUGUGUUAUGUCAUGUAUUCUAGGUGUAUUAUGGCAUGUAUUCUAGGUGUGUAUUCAAGGUGUGUAAUGUCAUGUAUUCUAGGUGUGUUAUGUCAUGUAUUCUAGGUGUGUUAUGUCAUGUAUUCUAGGUGUGUAAUGUCAUGUAUUCUAGGUGUGUAUUCAAGGUGUGUAAUGUCAUGUAUUCUAGGUGUGUAUUCUAGGUGUGUAUUCAAGGUGUGUUAUGUC
Oncorhynchus keta (chum salmon) is the source of this 304-nucleotide long non-coding RNA. RefSeq lists it as uncharacterized. The record is from RefSeq and is a predicted model, not a curated record. NCBI's taxonomy places the organism in Eukaryota, Metazoa, Chordata, Actinopteri, Salmoniformes, Salmonidae. The transcript is spliced from 3 exons.